Molecule: ribosomal RNA, 456 nt
Filed under: uncultured bacterium
Lineage: Bacteria
Description: bacterial SSU rRNA
Rfam family: Bacterial small subunit ribosomal RNA
Source: RNAcentral
UUACAAAUUGAGGCUUAACCUUAAAUAAGCAACAGAUACUGUUAAACUUGAGUAUAGUAGAGGUAAAAGGAUUUCCAGUGGAGCGGUGAAAUGCGUAGAGAUUGGAAAGAACACCGAUGGCGAAGGCAUUUUACUGGGCUAUAACUGACACUCAGAGACGAAAGCUAGGGUAGCAAAUGGGAUUAGAUACCCCAGUAGUCCUAGCCGUAAACGAUGGAUACUAGAUGUUGCACGUAUCGACCCGUGCAGUGUCAAAGCUAACGCGUUAAGUAUCCGCCUGGGGAGUAUGCUCGCAAGGGUGAAACUCAAAUGAAGUUGACGGGGGCCCGCACAAGCGGUGGAGCAUGUGGUUUAAUUCGAAGCAACGCGAAGAACCUUACCUACACUUGACAUCCAGAGAACUUUCUAGAGAUGGAUUGGUGCCUUCGGGAACUCUGAGACAGGUGCUGCAUGGCU